This 73-nucleotide transfer RNA is filed under the name Daphnia pulex (common water flea). It matches the Rfam family "tRNA". Rfam says of the family: Transfer RNA (tRNA) molecules are approximately 80 nucleotides in length. Their secondary structure includes four short double-helical elements and three loops (D, anti-codon, and T loops). Further hydrogen bonds mediate the characteristic L-shaped molecular structure. tRNAs have two regions of fundamental functional importance: the anti-codon, which is responsible for specific mRNA codon recognition, and the 3' end, to which the tRNAs corresponding amino acid is attached (by aminoacyl-tRNA synthetases). tRNAs cope with the degeneracy of the genetic code in two manners: having more than one tRNA (with a specific anti-codon) for a particular amino acid; and 'wobble' base-pairing, i.e. permitting non-standard base-pairing at the 3rd anti-codon position. Lineage: Eukaryota; Metazoa; Arthropoda; Branchiopoda; Diplostraca; Daphniidae. The record is from Rfam by way of RNAcentral.
GGUCGUGUGGCCUAAUGGAUAAGGCAUCGGACUUCGGAUCCGAAGAUUGCAGGUUCGAGCCCUGCUACGAUCA